Molecule: ribosomal RNA, 495 nt
Filed under: uncultured bacterium
Lineage: Bacteria
Description: partial 16S ribosomal RNA
Rfam family: Bacterial small subunit ribosomal RNA
Source: RNAcentral
GAUGAACGCUGGCGGCGUGCCUAAUACAUGCAAGUCGAGCGAACGGACGAGAAGCUUGCUUCUCUGAUGUUAGCGGCGGACGGGUGAGUAACACGUGGAUAACCUACCUAUAAGACUGGGAUAACUUCGGGAAACCGGAGCUAAUACCGGAUGAUAUUUUGAACCGCAUGGUUCAAAAGUGAAAGACGGUCUUGCUGUCACUUAUAGAUGGAUCCGCGCUGCAUUAGCUAGUUGGUAAGGUAACGGCUUACCAAGGCAACGAUGCAUAGCCGACCUGAGAGGGUGAUCGGCCACACUGGAGCUGACACACGGUCCAGACUCCUACGGGAGGCAGCAGUAGUGAAUGUGCCGCAAUGGGCGAAAGCCUGACGGAGCAACGCCGCGUGAGGGAGGAAGGUCUUCGGAUCGUAAAACUCUGUUAGUAAGGAAGAACAUAUGUGUAAGGAACUGUGCACAUCUUGACGGUACCGAAUCAGAAAGCCACGUCUAUCUACG